Molecule: non-coding RNA, 11495 nt
Organism: Oryctolagus cuniculus (rabbit)
Lineage: Eukaryota; Metazoa; Chordata; Mammalia; Lagomorpha; Leporidae
Source: RefSeq, a predicted model, not a curated record
AAUUUCCCUAAUCCACAAUUCUCCUUCCUGUGUCUCUUUAUUGCCAAAUACACACAGGUCCAUGUUUUCCUUAGGACUCAAAGUAUUUCUGUUCCACAAAAAUAUGGAAUAAUCCCUGGGAGGUGUCUAUGGACACAGCAGUUUGAAGACAGUUGUGAUUCUCAACCACAAGGCCAAUUACACACAGAGGAAAGAUGGAAGGCAAGGCUUCACGACUCAGAGUUGGAUCGAAUGAGAACUGAGGACCGCCUCUGUCUGUCCCCACUCACCCCGGUGGACAGCCAUUCCCCCACUGCUCGAGAGCCUCACAGAUGGCAGCAGGCACUGUGAUUCGGUGCAGAGCACACACGAGGCACGUCCCCAACCGUGGGCUGUUGGGCACACCACUCACCGUCGAAGACUCCUAGUUUCCUCACUAGGAAUUCCUGCCAUGGUGCCCAUCCUAUAGGAUGGCAAGUGGACAAAAGUGCUUGGGAAAGCACCCGGUGUACCAGGGCACCUCCCAAUGUUUGUGGAAAGCUGAAAUUGAAAGGUAACUUUAUUUUGGUGCAGAAAAGAAUUUGAAACCCACGCCUAGCUUUUUCAUAAUAUACAUUUUCCAUGAACUUUCUGAAGACCCCACCAUGCAGGGAUUUCAAUUAUUUUUUCCACCAAAAUAAACUUGCUUUUUAAUUCCAUUCUUUCCAGGAACUUUUGAGUCCACCUGUACUUUAUAUAUUGGGGUUUUUUGUUUGUUUUUACUUUCAUUAUAAGUAAUGUCACUUCAGGAACACUGAUUGACUUGAGUGUAAGGUUGCCAAGUAAAAUGCAUGACCCCUGGGGAUGGACAUUUGGUUCAGUGUUUAAAAAGCGCCACUUGGGAUACCCGCAUCUCAUAUUGGAGUGCUUGGGGCUGGAGUACUGGCUUUGCUUCUGACUCCAGCUUCAAGGUAGCAGGUAGUGAUAGGGGGUUAUAGUGCCUUGGGUCCCUGCCACAUAUGCGAGAGUCCCGGAUUCAUUCCUGACUCCAGGCUUCAGAUGCUGGGGACAUUUGGAGAGUGAACACAGUGCAUGGAAGAUCUCUGUCUGUCUAGCUCUGCCUCUCAAAUGUAAAUCAAUAAAUAAAUAUUAAAAAAUAAAAUGUAGGGCAUCUAGUUACCUUUUAAUUUCUGAUGAACAAUAUAGUUUUUAAAAUUAUAAGUACAUACAAAACUUUAGUUUAUUGUGCGAGACAUACUAAAAAUAUGUUUGUUUCCCUCUCUGAAACUCUAAUGUAACCUGGUGUCCUGUCUUGUCUUUUGCUAUUUCUAGCAACCUUACUCGAGUUCAGCUGAGGGAUGUAGGCUGUUACCAGAUCUUCUCAGAGAAAGAAGAAAUCACUGUACUUGUAGAACAAACUACUACCUUGAGAGGACCUGUCUGCAAGUCUUUGAACUUGAAAGAGCUUUUCGUUCUGAGCUUGAAAACAAAAGCAGGAGCUGCCGUGGGGAACAGUGAGUGUAUAAGCCACCACUUGGGACACCUGCAUCCGAUUCUGGAGUUCAUUGCCUACGUGCCUGCAACAGCCAGGAGUGGGCCAGGCGGAAGCCAGAAGCCAGGGAUUCAGGUCUCCCACAUGGGAGGCAGGGACCCAACCAUUGAACCAUCACAUGCUGCCUCCCAGGGUGCACGCUGGCAGGGAGAUGGAACACAAGCAGAGCCAGGACUUGAACCCAGGCACUCUGAUCCAGGAUGUGGGGAUCUUAACCACUAUGCCAAAUGCUCAGCCCUGUCUCUAAUACUUUAAAAAACUUGAUCUCAGGGGCUGGCACCAUGGCUCACUAGGCUAAUCCUCCACCUAGCGGUGCCGGCACACGGGGUUCUAGUCCCGGUCGGGGCACCGGAUUCUGUCCCGGUUGCCCCUCUUCCAGGCCAGCUCUCUGCUGUGGCCCGGGAGUGCAGUGGAGGAUGGCCCAAGUCCUUGGGCCCUGCACCCCAUGGGAGACCAGGAGAAGCACCUGGCUCCUGCCUUCAGAUCAGCGCGGUGCGCUGGCCGCGGCGGCCAUUGGAGGGUGAACAAACGGCAAAAGGAAGACCUUUCUCUCUGUCUCUCUCUCUCACUGUCCACUCUGCCUGUAAAAAAAAAAAAAAAAAAAAAAAAAAUAAAACACUUGAUCCCAGGAUCUGAGCCCCCCGGCUCACCUGCCCAUCAUAGCUGAUACACAAAAAGCUGUUGACACUCUACGGAAGAAUAUGUGAUCAACGAGGCAUACACAAGAUGAGAAGAACCCUGUUUUGUCAUUGAUUUGCUGCUGAACCAUGCCAUGCAGCGGCCCCGCCUAACUGCACAGUAGCUUCCAGGUGCAACCAGACCAGCAGGGAAAGACUGCAGCGGCAUCGCCCUGUCCUGGGGACACACAGGGCAAUGAAGACAAGCACCUGGGGAGAGCCAGGGUACUGCGCAGUCGAAUGUGUCACACUACUGCCAAGAAAUGGGAGCUGGAAGGUUUGGGCUCGGUUAGUGGAAAAAUUGAAAUAGAAAUCAAGAUCAACCAUGAAGGAGAAGUAAACAGGGCUUGUUAUAUGCUCAGAACCAUCGCAUCAUUGCAAUGGUCUUGCCUGGUGGAACUGCAUGCUUUUGAGUCGCCUAAGGGUGAAAUAGUCCAGGUGCGGCCAUGUCCUCACAAGAAUAUUUUGGCUUCUAGUGGCACUGAUUACUGACUGCGAGUCUGGAUUGAAGUAAAAAUUGGAGAGGCAUGAUCCCAGAAUGUGCAGAAGAUGGGUCAGCAGAGCUGUUUCUUCGUGGUGGUCACACUGCCGCAACACCUGACUCCCCCUGGAGUCCCGGUGAGCCCUGGUGAUGCACUGUGUGUCAGGACCCAGUGCCAGGCACAUGGGGCAAGUGAAGGCAGCACGGAUGGGAGGACGAGGAUCCCAGGUUGUCCGCUCUUCCUGUUGUUUUAGCCUCCCCCCCACCCCGCUUCCCCUAACCCUGAGAUUGAUUUAGCACUCUGAGACAGGGCAACCCCUUGUGUGAUAGGUACCACCAACACAAUGCUAGUAGCUCAAACAGUGGUUAUUUUCUAAGUAUUAACUGGAAGAUGUGAUUCACCAAAGUAACAGCAUACAUUUCAACUUUCUUCAAUAAUUUUCUAAUAACAAACCUGCAUCUAGAAAGUAGAAUAUGGAGUGACAUUUGCAUUCGACCUGACAGUUCUAAACUCCAUUUUUGAUGCCUGCAUGUCAUAUCGAAGUGGCUGGAUUUCAGCCCCAGAUCUGCUCCUGAUUCCGGCUUCCUGCUACUGUCCCCCCUCCUGCCUCUGACUGGGGAGGCAACAGAUGAUGGCUUCAGGGGUUGGGUCCCUGCCAUCCAUGUGGGAGACAUGUACGAAGUGCCCAGAUGUUGGUUGCAGCCUGACCCAGCCCUGGCUGUUACAGGCAUUUAGGAAAUGAAUCCGCCUAUGAGAGCUCUGUGUGUCUGUUUGUCUGUACCUCUCAAGUAAAUAAAUAAAACUUUUUUUAAAAGGGAAUUAUUAUGUGAGAUUUUUUUUAAUGCUGUAUACAUGCCAUGUUUUUCAGAUUCACUUAAGUAAAGGCUGCAGUGAGCAAGGAAGAGCGAAUGAGAUUACGUAAUGGCUACUGCAGAAACCCUGAAGGCAGGGACAAGCACAGGGUGGACGAAGUGGUAAAAACCCUAUUUCAAACUGGGAAGGUGGAAGAGGAUUCCAGGAGAGACCAAAACUUAAGCCUCUCUGGGCCUGGGUAUGUAUAUUGGAACGUGUGUGAAUGCAGUUUGAGAAAGGUAUGGGGGACCAGUGCCGUGGCAUAGUGGGUAAAGCUGUCACCUGUAGUGCCAGCAUCCCAUAUGGGCACCGGUUCCAGUCCUGGCUGCUCUGCUUCUGAUCCAGCUCUCUGCUAUGGCCUGGGAAAGCAGUAGAAGAUGGCCCAAGGUGGGCCUCUGCACCUACGUGGGAGAUCCGGAAAAAGCUCCUGGCUCCUGGCUCCUGGCUUCGGAUCGGUGCAGCUCCGGCAGUUGCAGCCAAUUGGGGAGUGAACCAGCAGAUGGAAGACCUCUUUCUCUCUCUGUCUCUCCUUCUCUCUGUGUGUAACUCUGACUUUCAAAUAGAUACAUAAAUCUUAGAGAGGGAGAGAGUGAGAGAGAGAGAGAGAGAUGGAAGGGUGUGCAUCAGGCUGUGACUCUCUUGCUGCAGAGAAAUGGGGUGAGAUGGUAGAUGGGAACAAACUUUCAAAUGUCAACUCCCCCCUCCAAUGGAUCAUAACAAGCAUGGAUAACUUUGUAUUUAAGAAGUCAAUAAAAAUAAACUAAGUUUUUUUUAUUAUUGUUGAAUAAAAGUAUUUUGUAUCCUAUAAGACACUUCAUCUUUACAGUGGAGAUGAAUCACCCUCAAUCCACACAAGUGGUUUUUACCUUUCCGGUAAAAGUAAAGAGUGAAUUUCAAAAAGAAAAUUGGCUAUCCCAUGACACCCCAAGGCCCCAGUUAUCUAGGAAGAGAGUGUUGGAGAUUGGAAGCCUGAACAGAAAGUGGAGUCGUGUGGCCGAUGGUUACAACCCCCGCCGUCUGGCCCAUCAGCACAGGGACCCCGGCCCAUGGGUGCAAUAACCCAGGCAGUUAUCAGUGCAGUGGAGUCACUCUGGCCAGGAAGUGCGCAGGGACCCAUAACGGCUUAAGCUGGGUUCACGCCGGUGCCGUGGCUCACUAGGCUAAUCCUCCGCCUUGCGGCGCCGGUACACCGGAUUCUAGUCCCAGUUGGGGCACCGGAUUCUAUCCCGGUUGCCCCUUUUCCAGGCCAGCUCUCUGCUAGGGCCGGGAGUGCAGUGGAGGUUGGCCCAAGUCCUUGGGCCCUGCACCCGCAUGGGAGACCAGGAGAAGCACCUGGCUCCUGGCUUCGGAUCAGCACGAUGCGCCGGCCGCAGCACGCUGGCCGCGGCAGCCAUUGGAGGGUGAACCAACAGCAAAGGAAGACCUUUCUCUCUGUCUCUCUCUCUCACUGUCCACUCCGCCUGUCAAAAAAAAAAAAAAAAAAAAAGCUGGGUUCACUGUGAAGAGGCAAAGAGCACACUCUGGAGUUCCUCCUGCCCAUAGCUCCCAUGCCUGCAAGAUGCAGCCCAGAACUUGCCAUAAAUUUAGCUACAAAUCCAGCAGCUUUGCCUCACUGUUCAUCUUCCCUGGCCUGCUGGAACCUCACAACCCAACUUAUGAUCUCUCCUCUUUUAUGAGCUUCUUGCAAUUCUGCAGGGAGAAAACAACAGAACAUUUUCAUAGUUCAGGGAAGGAGCUUGUGUACAUUGUUGUACACGCACCCUUCCCAGCAAAAAAUGACAACAAAUGCAAGCAGAAUGAAGCAAAAUCAACCCUGCUGUUUUGUGGCAUGGCUCCCAAGAGUGCUUGAUCAAAUGACGCCUCUCAACAUCAGUUACAUGAUUUAACAGGCAGUCUCCCAACAGCAGCACCAAAGGACAUUGUCAUAGCUGUUAGAUCAAAAGGAUGAAGGGUGAACAAAGAAGACACAGGAAAUCCAAGGAUGGGCAGGUGCUUUCAUUGUAUGUAUCAAGGGAGUGGGUUGGACUGGACCACUGAGAACCAUCAGAGACUCUCAUGUCUGGCAGUUAGACACUUCCUUCUUUCCCUGUGUUGGUGUAGAUCACUCACUCCUUGCUCUGUGGGAAUCGCAGGCACAGAGAUUCUAAAGACUCAGACUUUCUUCCUUUCUUGAUUUCCCAAUCCUCAUUUGCCGCUUGUUGUCAGUGAUUUGCACACUGCCUCAGCUUCUAGCCAGCUCUUAAGACUUCAGAACACAGACAGAUUCUUCAGGGCUCCAGGAAGGUCUCUGAUGAGUUCUUUUUGUUUGUAAGAUUUAUUUAUUUAUUUGAAAGUCAGAGUUACAGAGAGAGAAGAAGAGGCGGCGGAGGUCUUCUGUCUGCUGGGCAGAUGGCAGCCAGGAGCCAGGAACAUCUUCCAGGUCUUCCACGUGGGUUCAGGGGCCAGGCACGUGGGCCAUCCUCCGCUGCUUUGUCAAGCCAUUAGCAGGGAGCUGGAUUGGAAAUGGAGCAGCCGGGAUUGGAACCAGCACCCGUAUGGGAUGUCGGCAUCGCCACAGGCGGCGGCUUCACUGACUGUGCUACAACGCUGGCCCCCUUCUGAGUUCUUUCAUCUCUGUCCACAGGGAUGAGUUACCAAGAUGUGGCAUAUUGAAAUUCAUCAUUCAUUUUUCAACUUUUCCCCAAAAUACGUGUUUGCCCCCUUGUAACCUGCCUGGCCUGACAUCACAUGUUGAAUGAGUCAGAGCUCUGUGACUUAAAUGCAGCUAACACUAAAAUUGUGCUAUCGAUUUCUGAUGCUCUCUUACUUUUUCCUUGUUGGUUUGUAAAAGUUGACUUCAACUAAUAUCACUCUAAAUACGUGACGCUGAGAUUCAUCCUCUUUCUCCAUUGGCCCUGUUUGCCAUCAUUUAGUAGAGUCAGCUACGUCAACAUUUUUUUUAGGAUUUCAAAAUAUGGAUUUUUCCAUUCUAAAAUAGUCGCAAACAUCCCCUUGUUGUCCAGUCUGCUGUCGGUCGCACAGAGCACAUCCCUGCUGAUGCGGUAUGUUCCUUCUGACACAUGUUACAUAGGUAAUGAAAACCAGUAGUGAUGGUGUACAGGUUUGAGCAGUAGACAACCUGGGGGAAAAUUCUGGCUUUAUUGUUUACUAUUUUGGGGCCAGUGGUGUGGCAGAGUGGGUGAAGUCACCACCUGCAACACCAGCAUCCCAUGUGGGUGCUGGUUCAUGUCCUGCCGGUUCCACUUCCAAUCCAGCUCCCUGCUAAUGGCCUGAGAAGAGCAGCAGAAGAUGGCCCAAGUGCGUGGGCCCCUGCACCCAAGAGAGACCUGGAUGAAGCUCCUGGCUCCUCAUCUCAGCCUGGCCCAGCACAGGCCAUUUUGGCCAUCUGAGGAGUGAACCAACGAAUAGAGGACCUCUCUCUCUAUCUCUGACUUUCAAAUAAAUAAAUAAAUCUUUUCAAAAUAAUUGAAAUUAUUCACUACUUUAAGCAGGUCAUCCAGCUUCUUCAGGCUCAGUUUCCUUGGCUAUCAAGCAUGCUCUUGGCAUUUAUCCCACAGGGCUUUUGUGAGGCUCAGAUGAGAGAGCAGGCAUGGGCACUUUGAAGACAUUAUUUCUGCCAUUCUGACACGCAAACUACACUGUCUUCCCCGGGAGGUACUGGACAGGACAUGGUGGCCAGUGGAGACCACACGAAGGACCCAGGUGUGGGAAGGGCCCAGGUGUCUCCUUAGGCAGCAGACUAGUGUCAUCUCACCUCUGCAGGCAUGGCUGGAAAAUACUUCCCUGAGAAGAUGCCCUUGAGUUCCGCAGCUCCGACUGGGCUUGUUCCUCGGUGAUCUCCAUUAAUGUCCACUGUGAAAUAUUUUUCUCCAACUGUGUAAGUCUCAGAAAACUCUAGAGAAUUCCAUAGUUAGGGGUUUAACACCUUAGAUGAAAAUGCAGGCUGAGGAGCAGAGGUGAUAAGUGACUCUAUUACACUAUUUAUUCCAUUCACUAAAAUAAACUAACAAGACCUUAGAGAUGUUAGCUGAAGAGAACCCUAAUAGCAUUUGCACAUCCCAUUGCAAGUAAUGCACGUUGUAUGAAUGAUGUCCAUUUGUGAGGAGACUUAUCUCUGGGAUCUCCCUUCCUGGGACAUUCCAAUAAAAUGCUUACAGUUUAAAAAUUACUUUCUAUAAAGAACAUUCCUAAUAAAAGGGAUUCACUUUUCUGACUGCAAAUUCACUCAAAUGUUCCAAGCUUUUCUGACUUAGAUCGUUGAGUGGUUGGCUGCUGAGGCUCAGCUCUCACUAACUCAACAUGGAUCUCUGAGAAGCUAGAUGCAUACUGCGGGCCUUCUGCAUGUACAGGUUCUGUGUUUGGGAUUCAACUAGCUGCAUGUGGAAAAUAUUUCCAAAAAUAGUAAUUCUGUCCUGAGUAUGUACAGAUCUUUGUUCUUCUUGUUAUUCCAGAAAAAUACCAUAGAACAGCUCAUAUUUGCGUCAUGUACAUUGUUUUAUGUAUUAGGCAACUUUUUUUGUCACUGCAACAAAAAACCUAAGACAAGCUACUUGUGAAGCAUAGAGGCUUAUUUCAGCUCACAGUUUUGGAGGUUCACAGCUCAAGAUUCAGCAUUGGCUUGGCUGUUGGGUGAGGCCAGAGAAUGGCAAUGGUGAAAUGUGUAUGGAGGAAGAAUCACAGGGUACGUCAGGAGGCAGGGAGAGAACACCUGAGCCCAACUCAGGCUUUUAUAACCAAGCCUAUCAUGAGAAUGCCUUCCUAGGGUAUUUCCCCACCAGGCCUACUUCCUAAACACUAUAACUGGAUUAAAUGUCUACUCUCAACUCAUGGCUUUGCAUGAGUUUGGGAGCCAAAGCCUGCUCAAACCAUAGCAUCUGCCUCAACUGACCUCACAUGUAACCUACAAUCAUUCCAGCCCCAAUAGUUUCAAAGUCUUAUUUCAGUUCAACGUUAAUUCAAAAGUCCAAAGUCAAAAUCUCAGCUGAGACUCAAGGCAAACUCCAGUUGUGAGUCUGCAAAACUCCAGUUGUGAGUCCCAAGUUACAUAUUUCCAAGACUGACCAGGUAGGUACAGGGUAUAGAUUUCCAUUCCAGAAGGGGGAGAGAGGGAAAUAAAAAGGAUUCACCAGACCAAAGCAAGACUGAAACCCAGUGGGGCUUGUUCCUAAAGCCCAUUUCCAACAUCUUGGACACACUGGGGUGGGGGUUCCCCACUGGGCAGCCCUGCGCCUCCAGCUUUGCUACUCACAGCCCAGGCUUUGGCUCUCACAGGUUGGAGUUUGAUGUCUGCACUGCACAAGGCAUUGGCUUCGUGGGGGCUCUCUGCAGGGGCCUGGAUCCUUUGCCAGGUCUCUACUCCCAAGUUGUCUGACAUCCUUUGACAUCCAGGUGGAGACUCCAUGCUUUUGUGGCUCUGUCGGCCUCUUUGUUCCCACACUGCUCUCAGAGGCUGCAGGCUGCUGUCCUGGGCUUUGCCAGGCAGAUACCGACCAUUGUACCCUUCUGAGAUAUCCACAUUGGCUUUUCUCGGAUGGCUUCACUACUCAUCACCGCACCUGAGUGUCCACACAGGGGCUAGAACCUUAGGGUGGAACUCUGCCUGCCCUCCCAGGCUUCCUUUGAAAUCUCAGUGGAAGUUAUGACCCCAUAAAUGCUUGCAUUCUGCACACUUUCAAAACCAGCCUGCUAUGGAUCAUGCCUAGGUCUGCCACCAGCACAGGCUGCAUCUGGUUCCACUUGAGCCAGGGCUGCAGCCCCCAAGUGCUUUGCCCAGGGAAACAAAUCCCAAGGCAGUUUUGAGCACACUUGCUGAAAGUGCCCUGGGUUUUCACAGAACAAUUCUUCCUCCUAGGCUCCUAGCCUUGUGAGGGGAGGGAAACCGGGAGGACCACUGAAAUGCUUUUGGGAUCUUUCUCCCAUUGUCUUUCUGGUCAACACAUGGCUCCCUUUGACCUGUGCUGAUCUCUUAGGCAAGCCGGUUUUCCCACUCCAUUGUCCUGUCCCCACUCCCCACUGUCUGCUCUCACAGUAAGGAUUCUGUGGGACUUGGCUGUCAGGCAGAUCUGGCCAUAUCAGAUGCCCGGGAUGCAGCCUGUGCCUGGGUUGGAAGGGCAAGACUGAUACGUCUGCACAGACUGUACUGCACAUCUCUCUCCAACCCUCCUCCAAGGUGCAGCCUCACAGCUUCUUGUGAAACCAUUAACACAAAUGCUCACUCUGAGUUCUGAUUGCCCUUGGCUUGAGUACUCUCCCAGGCUUCCUGUUGCCAAGACAUGCACAAUUACAGCCUCUCCAUCCAGCAUCAAUGCACUCUUGGGGCAGGAGCAUAGUGUUUUUAUAGGAACUAAGCACCAUUGUACUACUUUUUCUCUCACACAUGAAACCAGAGGAAGCUCAAAGAUGUGGAGUUUUCAGGACAAAUCAAAGAAGCCAACGCCAGGCUUGAGAGGGUGAGUGGACUGUGCAAGGCGAAGAGAGAGAUGGUGAGAAGUGCCUGCCAAGGGUACCCCACCAGUGCCCUAAAGACAACCCCUAGGCCCACUGGGGACAGUGGAGACCCAGCAUUCAGAAAACUGUUUAUGCAGCUGGUCUUGAAAAUUUUCUAGUUAACCAUGCAUGGACACGUUCACAACAGAAUUAACACAUGCAGUUGGGGCCGGUGCUGUGGCACAGCAGGUUAAACUGCCACCUGCAGCGCCAGCAUCCCAUAUGGAUGCCAGUCUGAGUCCCAGCUGCCCCACGGCUGACCCAGCUCCCUGCUAAUGUGCCUGGGAAAGCAUCGGAGAUGACCCAAAUGCUUGGGUCCCUGUGUCUACGUGGGAGACUCGGAUGAAGCUACUGGCUCUGACUUUGAUGGCCCAGCCCUGGCUGUUGUGGCCGUUUGGGGAGUGAACAAGCAGAUGGAAAACCUCUCUUUGUCUCUCUCUGCCUCUCUGUAACUCUGCUUUUCAAAUAAAUAAUAAAUAUUUAAAAACAAACAAACAAACACAUGCAGUCCUAUGAGUUAAGGAUCUUAGUGGAAGAUAGAGUGCCCCACAGAUUAUAGCUAUCUAAGACCAUGUCAAAAUCCUGGAUCUACUAUUUUGAAUCACUAACUCAGUGAAACCACUAAUUCCUUUUUUUAAAAAAAUUGACCAUUUUUUAGACCAGUUUGAGUUUACAGAAAAACUGAGUAGAACAUAGAGUUCUCAUAUACCCUUCUCCAUAAUUUCCCAUGUUAUUAGUGUCUUGCAUUAAUGUGAUAAAUUAUUUUUAUAUUUAUAAUAUAUUUAUAUAAAUUAUGACAUUUACCAGAUAUCUACUAUUAUCACAUUAAUUAAGGUCCAUAACAUACAUUGGAGUUCAGUCUUCAUGUUAUACAUUCUAUAGGUUUAGACAGAUGUAUAGUAACAUGUAUGCACCAAAAUAGUAUCAUACAGAAUGAUCAGAAUGAUUUCACUGCCCUAAACCCCCCUAUGCUGCUCCUAUUCAUUCCUCCAUCUCCGCUUCUCUAACUUUGACAACCAUUAAUUUUUUUAACUGUCUAUAUAGUUUUUCCCUUUCCAGAAUGUUACAGUUCAAAACAUGAAGUAUGUGGCUUCUUCAGAUUUGCUUCCUUCACUUAAUAGCAUUCAGUAACUGCUCCUCCCUAUCUUUCCAUGACUUGAAUAGCUAUUCACUUGUAGUGCUGAGUAAUAUCCUACAAUCUGGAUGUCUCACAGUUUAUUUAUCUAUUCCAUUCUUAUUACGGUUUGGGUGUUUCCAAAGGCCCACAUGUUGGAGACUUGAUCCCCAAUCUACGGUAAUGGAUUAAGGAUGGAACUUAAUCUGAGGAAAGUAUCUGAAGGUAGGGCCUUGGAAAGAUUGGGUUGGGUUGUUAGGGAGGAAGUCCAUGAUGAAUCAUGGCGGCCUUAUAAGGAGAGACCACAGACACAGGAUGAGCACGACCCUUCCCUCUGCUUCCUGGCUCACCACGAGACCCUCCCCUUCCUUGAA